GAUGAACGCUGGCGGCGUGCCUAAUACAUGCAAGUCGAGCGAACGGACGAGAAGCUUGCUUCUCUGAUGUUAGCGGCGGACGGGUGAGUAACACGUGGAUAACCUACCUAUAAGACUGGGAUAACUUCGGGAAACCGUAGCUAAUACCGGAUAAUAUUUUGAACCGCAUGGUUCAAAAGUGAAAGACGGUCUUGCUGUCACUUAUAGAUGGAUCCGCGCUGCAUUAGCUAGUUGGUAAGGUAACGGCUUACCAAGGCAACGAUGCAUAGCCGACCUGAGAGGGUGAUCGGCCACACUGGAACUGAGACACGGUCCAGACUCCUACGGGAGGCAGCAGUAGGGAAUCUUCCGCAAUGGGCGAAAGCCUGACGGAGCAACGCCACGUGAGUGAUGAAGGUCUUCGGAUCGUAAAACUCUGUUAUUAGGGAAGAACAUAUGUGUAAGUAACUGUGCACAUCUUGACGGUACCUAAUCAGAAAGCCACGGCUAACUACGUG
Molecule: ribosomal RNA, 497 nt
Filed under: uncultured bacterium
Lineage: Bacteria
Description: partial 16S ribosomal RNA
Rfam family: Bacterial small subunit ribosomal RNA
Source: RNAcentral